Molecule: ribosomal RNA, 441 nt
Filed under: uncultured bacterium
Lineage: Bacteria
Description: partial 16S ribosomal RNA
Rfam family: Bacterial small subunit ribosomal RNA
Source: RNAcentral
CUACGGGGGGCAGCAGUGGGGAAUAUUUCACAAUGGGGGGAACCCUGAUGCAGCAACGCCGCGUGAAGGAAGACGGUUUUCGGAUUGUAAACUUCUAUCAAUAGGGAAGAAAGAAAUGACGGUACCUAAAUAAGAAGCCCCGGCUAACUCCGUGCCAGCAGCCGCGGUAAUACGGAGGAUGCGAGCGUUAUCCGGAUUUAUUGGGUUUAAAGGGUGCGCAGGCGGAGGUGCAAGUCAGCGGUCAAAUUGCGGGGCUCAACCCCGUACUGCCGUUGAAACUGCAUCCCUUGAGUGCGCGAGAAGUAUGCGGAAUGCGUGGUGUAGCGGUGAAAUGCAUAGAUAUCACGCAGAACUCCGAUUGCGAAGGCAGCAUACCGGCGCGCAACUGACGCUCAUGCACGAAAGCGUGGGUAUCGAACAGGAUUAGAUACCCGGGUAGUC